GACACAGGGAAAGGGGGGAGGAAGAGACACAGGGAAAGGGGGUGAAAGAGGCAGAGGGGGAAGAAAGAGACAAAGAGGGAGAAAUGAGAGAGAGACACACAAGGGGAGGGGAAGAAAGAGGCAGAGGGGAAGAGAGAGACUGGGAAGGAGAGGGGAGACAUUGACACAGAGGAGCAGUGAGGGGGAGAAAGAAACAUACAGAGUGACUGGGGGAGACAAAAAGGCACGGCCGAUCUCCCUCCCCGUUCCACAGGCACCGUGCAGCCAGUCGGCAGGGGAGGAAGAGAGGACCUGGGGCAACGCUCCGGCUCUCACGAGGGUGAACUCUAGCCCUGGAGCUACGGGCUAGAGUUCACUCUCACCACUUCCUGGUGGUCCCAGUAGUAGGAGUGAACUCUAGCCCCAUACACACACUGCCCCACACACACACCAUACACAUUCACACACUGCCCCCACACACACACACCAUACACAUUUACACACUGCCCACCCACACACUGAACCUUUCACACACAUUGCACCACUGCUCCUAUACCCUACUAC
Pelobates cultripes (western spadefoot toad) is the source of this 543-nucleotide non-coding RNA. The record is from the annotation of a GenBank genome assembly. Lineage: Eukaryota; Metazoa; Chordata; Amphibia; Anura; Pelobatidae.